UUUAAAAGAACGAUAGAAACUAGAUUGAGCCGAGAUACAAAAGUGGAGGACCUGGCGCGCAAAUAACCCUCCCCAUGCCAAAACUCGCGGAUCUAGCCGCGGUUGGAUCGGGUCAUCAGGUACGGGCCCUGCAAUCAAUACGGCGCCGUUUCUUUCCCGGCAUUAAACUAAAAAAACUAAACCUAAGUAACCCUAAACCAUUCCUCCUUUUUGCGCCGCAUCAAAAAAACGAAAGCCCCCCUAUUUGCGCCGCUUCAAUCAGCCAAAGUUCCGCCCAACUCCGAUCCGAACGGAGUGAACGAAGCUUCCACGGCGUCUUGGCGAAGGCGUACAGAGGCCGUACGGGGGCCAGUUGGGACGUGGCGCGGCUCGUGUGAGGCAUUGCGCGUGGUGGGCACGUGAGGAGGCGUGCGGCGCUGGGGCUGAGUAGAGGCAGGAGCGGCGUUGUAAGCUAUCAGAAACCCUAGGGUUUCUGUUUUCGUUUUGGGCUUCAAUACAAUUGGGCCGGAGUAUUUGGGUUUGUAACCGGGUUUGGAGAUUGGGCUAAUUAGGCUUAGGUUAGGUUUGGGCUAGGGUUUGGGUCUGGUGUUGGGUUUCUCGGGUUUGGGUAUUGUAUUGGGUAUUAGAUUAAAACGAUUUGGGCCAUGCUGGGCCCAUGUAUUUGGACUUUGGACUUUUAAAUGUUGAUUUGGUUUAUAUUUUUUUGA
This is a long non-coding RNA of Gossypium raimondii (Peruvian cotton), 707 nucleotides long. RefSeq lists it as uncharacterized. NCBI's taxonomy places the organism in Eukaryota, Viridiplantae, Streptophyta, Magnoliopsida, Malvales, Malvaceae. The record is from RefSeq and is a predicted model, not a curated record. The transcript is spliced from 2 exons.